RNAcentral lists this RNase P RNA (339 nucleotides) under human gut metagenome. Its description in RNAcentral is "Bacterial RNase P class A". It matches the Rfam family "Bacterial RNase P class A". Rfam says of the family: Ribonuclease P (RNase P) is a ubiquitous endoribonuclease, found in archaea, bacteria and eukarya as well as chloroplasts and mitochondria. The record is from RNAcentral.
UACGGUCGCGGAAACGGAGAGAAACCGUUUAUGAGGAAAGUCCGAGCGUUUCAGAAACAGGGUGCCGGAGAAAUCCCGGUGGAGGCGACUUUAAGGAAAGUGCAACAGAAAAUUACCGCCUUGGCAAAAGCCUUGGUAAGGAUGAAAAGGCGAGGUAAGAGCUCACCGCCCGUCCGGUAACGGACGGGGCUGUGUAAACCCCACCCGACGCAAGAUUGACAGGGCGUUUCUUUGGGAGUUUCGCCGAAACGUCUUAUUAAAAUAUCGCUGGGGGAUAACGGUAACGUUAUUCGUAGAUAAAUGACCGUACACGACAGAACUCGGCUUAUAGAGCUUCUU